RNAcentral lists this ribosomal RNA (253 nucleotides) under uncultured bacterium. RNAcentral's name for it is "partial 16S ribosomal RNA". It matches the Rfam family "Bacterial small subunit ribosomal RNA", at positions 524 to 776 of the family's 1533-position model. The record is from RNAcentral.
GUCGUAGGGCGCGAGCGUUGUCCGGAUUUAUUGGGCGUAAAGAGUUCGUAGGCGGUUUGUCGCGUCGUCCGUGAAAACUUGGGGCUCAACCCCAAGCUUGCGGUCGAUACGGGCAGGCUAGAGUUCGGUAGGGGAGACUGGAAUUCCUGGUGUAGCGGUGAAAUGCGCAGAUAUCAGGAGGAACACCGGUGGCGAAGGCGGGUCUCUGGGCCGAUACUGACGCUGAGGAGCGAAAGCGUGGGGAGCGAACAGG